CGGCACGGGUGAGUAACACGUAUCCAACCUGCCGUCUACUCUUGGACAGCCUUCUGAAAGGAAGAUUAAUACAAGAUGGCAUCAUGAGUUCACAUGUUCACAUGAUUAAAGGUAUUCCGGUAGACGAUGGGGAUGCGUUCCAUUAGAUAGUAGGCGGGGUAACGGCCCACCUAGCUUCGAUGGAUAGGGGUUCUGAGAGGAAGGUCCCCCACAUUGGAACUGAGACACGGUCCAA
This 235-nucleotide ribosomal RNA is filed under the name uncultured bacterium. Its description in RNAcentral is "partial 16S ribosomal RNA". It matches the Rfam family "Bacterial small subunit ribosomal RNA", at positions 100 to 334 of the family's 1533-position model. The record is from RNAcentral.